Non-coding RNA from Pelobates cultripes (western spadefoot toad), 471 nucleotides. Lineage: Eukaryota; Metazoa; Chordata; Amphibia; Anura; Pelobatidae. The record is from the annotation of a GenBank genome assembly.
CCAGUGGCCUGGAGGUGAGGUUCCCCUCCCCAGCGGUCUGGCUCUCCCUGGGCACCCUCACUGUGUCUCCCUCCCUGGGCACCCUCCAUGGGCACCCUCCCUGGGCACCCUCACUGUGUCUCCCUCCCUGGGCACCCUCCUUGAGUCUCCCUCCCUGGGCACCCUCACUGUGUCUCCCUCCCUGGGCACCCUCCAUCGGCACCCUCUAUGGACACCCUCACUGUGUCUCCCUCCCUGGGCACCCUCACUGUGUCUCCCUCCCUGGGCAUCCUCACUGUGUCUCCCUCUCUGGGCACCCUCCCUCAGGCUCUGUGCACCCAAACUCUCCUCCUCGGGCCCGGUACAGGAUCUGCUGCCCGGGCCCGAGUCUUCAACAGGGCAGCACGCCUGGACAACGUGGCGCGCGGCCUGCUCCGCGCCCUGUCCUUCCACCGCCGGUGUCCGGGUGGUGGCAUCUGAGGUGGACCGUGC